RNAcentral lists this transfer RNA (82 nucleotides) under Methylobacterium sp. Leaf86. RNAcentral's name for it is "tRNA-Arg". The record is from RNAcentral. Lineage: Bacteria; Pseudomonadati; Pseudomonadota; Alphaproteobacteria; Hyphomicrobiales; Methylobacteriaceae.
GCGGCGGUGAACUCUCAUGAACACGGAAACCGUCAGACUACGAAUCUGGGGGUCAGAGGUUCGAAUCCUUUCGGGCGCGCCA